RNAcentral lists this ribosomal RNA (900 nucleotides) under uncultured Acidobacteriota bacterium. Its description in RNAcentral is "bacterial SSU rRNA". It matches the Rfam family "Bacterial small subunit ribosomal RNA", at positions 53 to 948 of the family's 1533-position model. Lineage: Bacteria; Pseudomonadati; Acidobacteriota. The record is from RNAcentral.
ACAUGCUAGUCGAGCGAGUNGAUCCCGCAAGGGACAGUUCGAGCGGCGAACGGGUGAGUAACGCGUGGAUGACCUGCCCUCAAGUGGGGAACAACCAGGGGAAACUCUGGCUAAUACCGCAUACGACCGAAAGGUGAAAGCGGGGUCGCAAGAUCUCGCGCUGGAGGAGGGGUCCGCGUCCGAUUAGCUAGUUGGUGGGGUAAUGGCCUACCAAGGCGACGAUCGGUAGCCGGCCUGAGAGGGUGAUCGGCCACACUGGAACUGAGACACGGUCCAGACUCNUACGGGAGGCAGCAGUGGGGAAUUUUGCGCAAUGGGCUAACGCCUGACGCAGCAACGCCGCGUGGAGGAUGAAGGUCUUUGGAUUGUAAACUCCUGUCAGCAGGGAAAAAGGGACUGCGGCUAAUACCCGUGGAACUUGAUUGUACCUGCAGAGGAAGCCCCGGCUAACUCUGUGCCAGCAGCCGCGGUAAUACAGAGGGGGCAAGCGUUAUUCGGAAUUAUUGGGCGUAAAGGGCGCGUAGGCGGCUUAGCAAGUGGCGGGUGAAAUCCCUCGGCUUAACCGAGGAACUGCCUGCCAGACUGCUUGGCUUGAGACCGGGAGAGGUGAGUGGAAUUCCCAGUGUAGCGGUGAAAUGCGUAGAUAUUGGGAGGAACACCAGUGGCGAAGGCGGCUCACUGGACCGGUUCUGACGCUGAGGCGCGAAAGCGUGGGGGAGCAAACAGGAUUAGAUACCCUGGUAGUCCACGCCGUAAACGAUGAGUGCUUGGUGUAGCGGGUAUCGACCCCUGCUGUGCCGACGUCAACACAUUAAGCACUCCGCCUGGGGGGUACGGUCGCAAGACUGAAACUCAANGGAAUUGACGGGGGCCCGCACAAGCGGUGGANCAUGUGUUUAA